AAAUUGCUAUUGGAAGCCAUGAGGAACUCCGCCAAUCAGGGACGCUCAAGGCGGCCUUGGCGGAGUUCAUCUGUACCUUGAUCUUCGUGUUCGCAGGUCAGGGUUCUGGUAUGGCUUUCACCAAGCUAUCAGCUGACGGUGUCGCUACUCCCGCCGGCCUAAUCUCUGCCUCAAUAGCCCAUGCCUUCGGGCUGUUCGUGGCCGUCUCCGUCGGUGCUAACAUCUCCGGCGGCCACGUUAAUCCCGCCGUUACCUUCGGUGCUUUCGUUGGUGGAAACAUCACUUUGUUCCGUGGGAUUCUCUACAUUAUUGCACAAUUGCUUGGAUCUACUGUUGCUUGCUUCCUCCUUGAAUUUGCCACUGGUGGCAUGGUGAGCAUGUGCACAUAAUUAAUUUGUAGACUAAUUAGCUGCAUAAUUAGCCUGUAUUUUAUUUUAUCAUGCUAUAGCCUUUAUGACUUGAUGUUAACUGUUCUAACUUCCCUAUCCUAGCGCUUUAGUAAGCAUCUUAAUAUUUGACUUUUCUACGUUUAGCUUUUUUCUAUAAAAAAAACAAAGGAAAAAAGGGAGAAAACAAAAGAAAUAAUAUAAGUGAACUCUUAGUUUUAUACCCAACUCUUUUUUUUAAAUUUUUAGCUAUAAAGGCAGAGUAUAGUCAUUUACCUUUUGAAGGUUGAUCUGAGAUGCAUAAAUAAUUAUUUAUUCAAUUUCUUCUCUUGAGUGGAUAAUGAAUGUAUGGUGGCCGUAUGAGAGAGAAAUCACGAGCUUUUGCAACUCUCCUGAAAGUAACGUACAGGUUUUCUUUUCUGAUAAGUAGUAAAGGGAAAAUAGUAGGGACUUUUUUGUUUUCAGCCAUGUGAGGAAAUGUUAUGCCCUUUUUGAAAAUUAUCCUGAAUUACUAUAUGGAGUACUUCUUUUUUACCAUGAAAUAUAUGGAAAUUUUGCCUAGUUUCUAAACCAAAAACAGCAAAAUAUAUACUGCUAGGUAUGUGGUCUGCAGACUCUAUAAUAGACAGUACUAGGAGAUUUUUUUCUUCUUUUUAUUACAACUAUUACCACAAGGUUCAUCAGCAAUUAAAUAUCAAAUCAAAUAUCACUCCUACUUAAUUUGACUCAUGAAAUCAAAGACGGCGAGUGAAAGUAGAAUAUAUGCUCUAAGUUCAUUUUCGUUUUGUACAUUAAACAAUAUCUUAUACCUUAAAAAUUAUCGUUUAUUAUUAUAGAUAAAAAUUGAACUAUUGCCUGGUGUCAGUAUCAUUAUUGUUGAGAAGGUUCCUGUUAUUGUUUGUUGUGUGAUAUCUCUGAUUAGAGUGUAAAAAAUGCUUAUUUAGCACAACAAUAGUGCCAUCAAGGGUUUUCACAUAUUUUAACAACAACAACAAUCCAGUAUAAUUCCAUAUAGUAGGGUCUGGGAAGAGUAGUUUGUACGCAGACCUUACCUCUACCCUGGGAUAGAGAGGCUCUUGGUUUUCACAUAUUUUAUAGAGCAUAAAUUUGGAACUCACGGAUUAGCUAGAAAUCUUUUUAUAUCUCAUUUGAAAGCGACUUAGUUUGUCCUUUCAUUAUGUGAGAUAGCGAUAUGAUGGUAACUAUAUCUAAAGCUAUAUAAUACACGUUUAUUCAAUAUUUAUAUAUGAGGGCCAAUUUAGUACCUAACAAUAUUCAUCCGUUAGGUGGCAUUAUCACUUUCCUCUUUCUAAUAGUGUUAUAGUGAAAGAAAGAAUAUUCCAAUCAUAUUCCUUGAUAUACACCGUCAGAGUUAAAAAAAACCUUACAUUCUUAUUAUAACAAAUUCUUUUUUCAUAAUAUCAGGUCAUGUUUAUAGACUAUUACUUGUUCUUAUAGGUAACUAAUUAUCCUAAAUAUAUGUAGAUUAUAAGUGUACAAAUUUUUAAUUUUCAUACUAAGAUGGAGUGAUAGUAACAAUUGUGAUGGUUAAAAAAAUAAUGCAGAGCACAGGAGCAUUUGCAGUGUCAGCUGGUGUAUCAGUAUGGAAUGCAUUUGUGUUUGAAAUAGUGAUGACUUUUGGACUUGUUUACACUGUGUAUGCCACUGCUGUUGACCCAAAGAAGGGUGACUUGGGAGUAAUUGCACCAAUUGCCAUUGGUUUUAUUGUUGGUGCCAACAUUUUAGCUGGUGGGGCCUUUACUGGAGCUUCAAUGAACCCUGCUGUCUCAUUUGGGCCAGCUUUGGUUAGCUGGACCUGGACCCACCAAUGGGUCUACUGGGCUGGACCCCUUG
RNAcentral lists this long non-coding RNA (2240 nucleotides) under Nicotiana benthamiana. RNAcentral's name for it is "long non-coding RNA (NBEN_LNC039404)". The record is from RNAcentral. Lineage: Eukaryota; Viridiplantae; Streptophyta; Magnoliopsida; Solanales; Solanaceae.